UACGUAGGUGGCAAGCGUUGUCCGGAAUUACUGGGCGUAAAGGGCGUGUAGGCGGCUUUUUAAGUCAGACGUGAAAUCCCUGGGCUUAACCCAGGAACUGCGUUUGAAACUGGAUGGCUUGAGGACCGGAGAGGGCAGUGGAAUUCCCAGUGUAGCGGUGAAAUGCGUAGAUAUUGGGAGGAACACCAGUGGCGAAGGCGACUGCCUGGACGGCACCUGACGCUGAGGCGCGGAAGCUAGGGGAGCAAACGGG
RNAcentral lists this ribosomal RNA (253 nucleotides) under uncultured bacterium. RNAcentral's name for it is "partial 16S ribosomal RNA". It matches the Rfam family "Bacterial small subunit ribosomal RNA", at positions 524 to 776 of the family's 1533-position model. The record is from RNAcentral.